RNAcentral lists this ribosomal RNA (108 nucleotides) under Moorena sp. SIO4G3. RNAcentral's name for it is "partial 16S ribosomal RNA". It matches the Rfam family "Bacterial small subunit ribosomal RNA", at positions 1 to 123 of the family's 1533-position model. The record is from RNAcentral. Lineage: Bacteria; Bacillati; Cyanobacteriota; Cyanophyceae; Coleofasciculales; Coleofasciculaceae.
CAUGGAGAGUUUGAUCCUGGCUCAGGAUGAACGCUGGCGGUAUGCUUAACACAUGCAAGUCGAACGCCCCUUCGGGGGAGUGGCGGACGGGUGAGUAACGCGUGAGAA